AACAAAACACGUUGCGAAAACAAGUAGCAAGAAAUCCGAAAAAGACACUAAAAUCAAGAAACAAAAGAUAUACGAACUAAAAAGUCAAAGACACAAGUUACAAAAUUCAAACGUAAAAUCAAAAGUACAAAGCAAAAAGAUUGUUGGCAACAUUUUUAUAAGUAUAUAUACGUAUUAUUAUGAUUUGUAUAUAUUUUUUAUACGAACUCAAAACAACGGAGCCAGAAGCUCGAUUUUGAUACGCAGAAUUGCUCACGUGAUGCUCCGACUCCUACGACGGGUUACACCAUAUCGAGAAGUUAUCCAAUGAGAAAGCCGCUUAAAUUUUGUCUGAGUCCGGUCUUGGACUAAUGAAACGCCUUUGUGCCAGAGUGGACUUCAUUUUUUAAUUAGAAAGUCAACACACCCGCACACACAGACAUACGUGCAUGAGCCCGAGAAUCCUUAAUCGAAAAGUGCUGCCAUAUGGAGAGGCGCCUUUGUAAGGACGGCAGGACUCCAUCCCCUCAGCUCUGUGCUUGUUUGCUUUUGUUUAUUUGUGUGCUACUUAAGAUGAAAUGGCAAAGAAAACUGACGUUGGAUGCCAGAUGCCAGAAAGAGACGAACAAAUGGGCGAAUGAGCUGGCCCGUGUCCGUUUCAAUUUCUCCUACCAAGUCAGUCCUGGUCCUUCACGCAGACAUUUUCUUUGAGUUUCCUCCUUGCUGCUGCCGCUGCUCCUGAUUCUACUCCUGCCGCUGCUGCAGCUAAAAAUAAAAAAUUGAAAGAAAAAGGCAAACAGACUACUAGUCUGAGUUAGAGGAACGAGUGCAACAGCAACGGCCGAGGCAGAGACAGCGGCAGCGGCGGAAACGGAAAUUGCUGAAGUUGCAUGUGUAUGUCCUCCUACAUAUAUACGCGUACUUAUGUGUGUGUAAUGAUGCGCCGUGUUAUCCUUUUGCUGACAGCAGACGCCGCUAGUUGUUGCAUUUACAAGCAGGCUGCAAUUAUUUUCAGCUUAGGCGACAAAAUAGAAGGAAGCAAGUCUUAAGCAUUUUCCAUUUCCCAGACUCGUUAUUAUCCAGCUCGAUGCCACAUAAAUGAGUUUGUUGCUGUUCCUACUUCUAUGCUUAGAUGUUUCUUUUUUAUUAUGCUGGCAUAUACUAAAUAUACCCAUAUCAUAAAAGAGAUUCAAAUAUAA
RNAcentral lists this small RNA (1178 nucleotides) under Drosophila ananassae. Its description in RNAcentral is "GF26848". The record is from RNAcentral. Lineage: Eukaryota; Metazoa; Arthropoda; Insecta; Diptera; Drosophilidae.